Molecule: non-coding RNA, 94 nt
Organism: Trichoderma gamsii
Lineage: Eukaryota; Fungi; Ascomycota; Sordariomycetes; Hypocreales; Hypocreaceae
Source: Rfam
UUACGUGAUGACAAAGAGCCUUGACGGCUCGAACAAUUUAAACCCAGCUCGUCGAAUGUCUUAGACAUAGUGAGAAGAAACCUAUUCUGAACUA